CAAGUUAGGAACAAGAACAGGAUUGGCGAUGAAUCUUAUGAGGAGACGAGGAUUGAAGAAGAGAGGCUUUUUGAGUCUCAUCCAAUGCUUUCAAAGAUUGACAAAUUCAUUGUUGGUGUUCUUGU
This is a non-coding RNA of Arachis ipaensis, 125 nucleotides long. The record is from RefSeq and is a predicted model, not a curated record. Lineage: Eukaryota; Viridiplantae; Streptophyta; Magnoliopsida; Fabales; Fabaceae.